Molecule: ribosomal RNA, 624 nt
Filed under: uncultured bacterium
Lineage: Bacteria
Description: bacterial SSU rRNA
Rfam family: Bacterial small subunit ribosomal RNA (bases 1-548)
Source: RNAcentral
CCUACGGGAGGCAGCAGUGGGGAAUCUUCCGCAAUGGACGAAAGUCUGACGGAGCAACGCCGCGUGAGUGAUGACGGCCUUCGGGUUGUAAAGCUCUGUUAAUCGGGACGAAAGGUCCUCUUGCGAAUAGUUAGAGGAAUUGACGGUACCGGAAUAGAAAGCCACGGCUAACUACGUGCCAGCAGCCGCGGUAAUACGUAGGUGGCAAGCGUUGUCCGGAAUUAUUGGGCGUAAAGCGCGCGCAGGCGGAUCAGUUAGUCUGUCUUAAAAGUUCGGGGCUUAACCCCGUGAUGGGAUGGAAACUGCUGAUCUAGAGUAUCGGAGAGGAAAGUGGAAUUCCUAGUGUAGCGGUGAAAUGCGUAGAUAUUAGGAAGAACACCAGUGGCGAAGGCGACUUUCUGGACGAAAACUGACGCUGAGGCGCGAAAGCCAGGGGGANCGAACGGGGAUUAGAUACCCCCGGUAGUCCUGGCCGUAAACGAUGGGUACUAGGUGUAGGAGUAUCCGACCCCUUNUGUGCCGGACGUACGUACAUAAGUACCGCCGUCGGAGGUACGACCGACGAGUAGAACGUACAAGAAGUAGUAGACGCGAGAGAGCGACGACGACGACGACGGAGGAGAG